This 799-nucleotide ribosomal RNA is filed under the name uncultured bacterium. Its description in RNAcentral is "bacterial SSU rRNA". It matches the Rfam family "Bacterial small subunit ribosomal RNA", at positions 43 to 825 of the family's 1533-position model. The record is from RNAcentral.
CGUCUCCGUUAAUGAUUUUAGGUGCUUGCACUUGAGAGAUUUAACAUUGAGACGAGUGGCGAACUGGUGAGUAACACGUGGGUAACCUGCCCUUGAAGUAGGGGAUAACACUUGGAAACAGGUGCUAAUACCGUAUAACAACCAAAACCACCUGGUUUUGGUUUAAAAGACGGCUUCGGCUGUCACUUUAGGAUGGACCCGCGGCGUAUUAGCUUGUUGGUAAGGUAACGGCCUACCAAGGCGAUGAUACGUAGCCGACCUGAGAGGGUAAUCGGCCACAUUGGGACUGAGACACGGCCAAACUCCUACGGGAGGCAGCAGUAGGGAAUCUUCCACAAUGGACGAAAGUCUGAUGGAGCAACGCCACGUGAGUGAUGAAGGGUUUCGGCUCGUAAAACUCUGUUGUUGGAGAAGAACAGGUGUCAGAGUAACUGUUGACAUCUUGACGGUAUCCAACCAGAAAGCCACGGCUAACUACGUGCCAGCAGCCGCGGUAAUACGUAGGUGGCAAGCGUUGUCCGGAUUUAUUGGGCGUAAAGCGAGCGCAGGCGGUUUUUUAGGUCUGAUGUGAAAGCCUUCGGCUUAACCGGAGAAGUGCAUCGGAAACCGGGAGACUUGAGUGCAGAAGAGGACAGUGGAACUCCAUGUGUAGCGGUGAAAUGCGUAGAUAUAUGGAAGAACACCAGUGGCGAAGGCGGCUGUCUGGUCUGUAACUGACGCUGAGGCUCGAAAGCAUGGGUAGCGAACAGGAUUAGAUACCCUGGUAGUCCAUGCCGUANACGAUGAGUGCUAAGUGUUG